AUGGAAUAACAACCGAAAAGGUUCCGUGAUUACCUCGAAAUGA
Molecule: non-coding RNA, 43 nt
Filed under: Bacillus methanolicus MGA3
Lineage: Bacteria; Bacillati; Bacillota; Bacilli; Caryophanales; Bacillaceae
Source: RNAcentral